CGGUCGACCGGCGCACGGGUGAGUAACGCGUAUCCAACCUGCCCACCACUUGGGGAUAACCUUGCGAAAGUAAGACUAAUACCCAAUGAUAUCUCUAGAAGACAUCUGAAAGAGGUUAAAGAUUUAUCGGUGAUGGAUGGGGAUGCGUCUGAUUAGCUUGUUGGCGGGGUAACGGCCCACCAAGGCAACGAUCAGUAGGGGUUCUGAGAGGAAGGUCCCCCACAUUGGAACUGAGACACGGUCCAA
This 246-nucleotide ribosomal RNA is filed under the name uncultured bacterium. RNAcentral describes it as "partial 16S ribosomal RNA". It matches the Rfam family "Bacterial small subunit ribosomal RNA", at positions 88 to 334 of the family's 1533-position model. The record is from RNAcentral.